Molecule: ribosomal RNA, 94 nt
Filed under: uncultured bacterium
Lineage: Bacteria
Description: partial 16S ribosomal RNA
Rfam family: Bacterial small subunit ribosomal RNA
Source: RNAcentral
CGUGAAUGAUGAAGCCCUUCGGGGUGUAAAGUUCUUUUAUAUGGGAGGAAGUUAUUGACAGUACCAUAUGAAUAAGGGGAUCCUAAUUCUGUGC